Long non-coding RNA from Sapajus apella (tufted capuchin), 751 nucleotides. RefSeq lists it as uncharacterized. The transcript is spliced from 3 exons. The record is from RefSeq and is a predicted model, not a curated record. Lineage: Eukaryota; Metazoa; Chordata; Mammalia; Primates; Cebidae.
AGAACAAUUUAUAUGGUUGUCAAAUUGGUUUUGCAGGAACUAUGAUGGGAAACUCCACUAGCAAAGCCAUACUCAAAGAAAAAUGAUUUAUGUUUGAGUUUGAAAUAGAUGUUGAGAAGUCAUGUCACUUUUAUGUUAGCAUACCAACUACCCACUUGUCUCAGUCAUGACGGGUAAAAAGGGAUUCUACAUUUAGAUAGGCAAAAGAUACAAAUUCAAAUCUUACAUUUUUAUUCCAUUUCUGGGUCUCUGUGGCUGCAUUCCAGCACAACCUCCCUGAAGUGGGGUUCUGAGAACUCCUUAUGAGUGAGGGGUAUGACCAAGGGUCCAAGUGCCUACUCAAAGAGGGAACCAGCUCACUCUCACCAACAUUUCCCUGAGAACACAAACCGUGUAAGUACAUUUCCCAUACGUGGAAUGGAAAUGCUUCUAACCUUUGGCUAAAUCCCUUUAGAUCCUAUAACCAAAAGUGUAUUUUCAAAGGCAGGGUCCAUAAUGGGAAGAACAUGCAGAAUCCAGAGGCAAUAAAAAGAACACAAACCAGAAUGCAUGCCCUGUGGGUGUGUCUCUCCAUUUUCCAUUUUAAUCACAAUAUAAAUAAGAGGGCCUACCAUAUUGUAUCAUAUGGGGAAGGAGAGAAAGAAAUAGCACUAGACUGGGCGCAGUGGCUCAUGCCUGUAAUCCCAGCACUCUGGGAGGCCAAGGUGAGCAGAUUGCCUGAGCUCGGGAGUUCAAGACCACCCUGGGCAAC